GCGGCGUGCCUAAUACAUGCAAGUCGAGCGAGCGGAACUAACAGAUUUACUUCGGUAAUGACGUUAGGAAAGCGAGCGGCGGAUGGGUGAGUAACACGUGGGGAACCUGCCCCAUAGUCUGGGAUACCACUUGGAAACAGGUGCUAAUACCGGAUAAGAAAGCAGAUCGCAUGAUCAGCUUUUAAAAGGCGGCGUAAGCUGUCGCUAUGGGAUGGCCCCGCGGUGCAUUAGCUAGUUGGUAAGGUAAAGGCUUACCAAGGCGAUGAUGCAUAGCCGAGUUGAGAGACUGAUCGGCCACAUUGGGACUGAGACACGGCCCAAACUCCUACGGGAGGCAGCAGUAGGGAAUCUUCCACAAUGGACGCAAGUCUGAUGGAGCAACGCCGCGUGAGUGAAGAAGGUUUUCGGAUCGUAAAGCUCUGUUGUUGGUGAAGAAGGAUAGAGGUAGUAACUGGCCUUUAUUUGACGGUAAUCAACCAGAAAGUCACGGCUAACUACGUGCCAGCAGCCGCGGUAAUACGUAGGUGGCAAGCGUUGUCCGGAUUUAUUGGGCGUAAAGCGAGCGCAGGCGGAAGAAUAAGUCUGAUGUGAAAGCCCUCGGCUUAACCGAGGAACUGCAUCGGAAACUGUUUUUCUUGAGUGCAGAAGAGGAGAGUGGAACUCCAUGUGUAGCGGUGGAAUGCGUAGAUAUAUGGAAGAACACCAGUGGCGAAGGCGGCUCUCUGGUCUGCAACUGACGCUGAGGCUCGAAAGCAUGGGUAGCGAACAGGAUUAGAUACCCUGGUAGUCCAUGCCGUAAACGAUGAGUGCUAAGUGUUGGGAGGUUUCCGCCUCUCAGUGCUGCAGCUAACGCAUUAAGCACUCCGCCUGGGGAGUACGACCGCAAGGUUGAAACUCAAAGGAAUUGACGGGGGCCCGCACAAGCGGUGGAGCAUGUGGUUUAAUUCGAAGCAACGCGAAGAACCUUACCAGGUCUUGACAUCUAGUGUCAUUUGUAGAGAUACAAAGUUCCCUUCGGGGACGCUAAGACAGGUGGUGCAUGGCUGUCGUCAGCUCGUGUCGUGAGAUGUUGGGUUAAGUCCCGCAACGAGUGCAACCCUUGUUAUUAGUUGCCAGCAUUAAGUUGGGCACUCUAAUGAGACUGCCGGUGACAAACCGGAGGAAGGUGGGGAUGACGUCAAGUCAUCAUGCCCCUUAUGACCUGGGCUACACACGUGCUACAAUGGGCAGUACAACGAGAAGCGAGCCUGCGAAGGCAAGCGAAUCUCUGAAAGCUGUUCUCAGUUCGGACUGCAGUCUGCAACUCGACUGCACGAAGCUGGAAUCGCUAGUAAUCGCGGAUCAGCACGCCGCGGUGAAUACGUUCCCGGGCCUUGUACACACCGCCCGUCACACCAUGGGAGUCUGCAAUGCCCAAAGCCGGUGGCCUAACCUUCGGGAAGGAGCCGUCUAAGGCAGGGCAGAUGACUGGGGUGAA
Molecule: ribosomal RNA, 1477 nt
Filed under: uncultured organism
Description: 16S ribosomal RNA
Rfam family: Bacterial small subunit ribosomal RNA
Source: RNAcentral